Molecule: ribosomal RNA, 301 nt
Filed under: uncultured bacterium
Lineage: Bacteria
Description: partial 16S ribosomal RNA
Rfam family: Bacterial small subunit ribosomal RNA
Source: RNAcentral
CAGCAGCCGCGGGAAUACGUAGGUGGCAAGCGUUGUCCGGAAUUAUUGGGCGUAAAGCGCGCGCAGGCGGAUCAGUUAGUCUGUCUUAAAAGUUCGGGGCUUAACCCCGUGAUGGGAUGGAAACUGCUGAUCUAGAGUAUCGGAGAGGAAAGUGGAAUUCCUAGUGUAGCGGUGAAAUGCGUAGAUAUUAGGAAGAACACCAGUGGCGAAGGCGACUUUCUGGACGAAAACUGACGCUGAGGCGCGAAAGCCAGGGGAGCGAACGGGAUUAGAUACCCGGGUAGUCCCUGUCUCUUAUACA